CGAGUCGGGAAGUAGGUUCUUGGAUUGUAAACCCCUUUUCCCAGGGAAGAACAAAAUGACGGUACCUGAGGAAUAAGCAUCGGCUAACUCCGUGCCAGCAGCCGCGGUAAUACGGAGGAUGCAAGCGUUAUCCGGAAUAAUUGGGCGUAAAGCGUCCGUAGGUGGUCAUUCAAGUCUGCCGUUAAAGAGUGGGGCUUAACCCCACAAAGGCGGUGGAAACUGAAAGACUAGAGUGCAGUAGGGGUAGAGGGAAUUCCCGGUGUAGCGGUGAAAUGCGUAGAGAUCGGGAAGAACACCGGUGGCGAAAGCGCUCUGCUGGACUGCAACUGACACUGAGGGACGAAAGCUAGGGGAGCGAAUGGGAUUAGAUUCCCCAAGUAG
This 381-nucleotide ribosomal RNA is filed under the name Funiculus sociatus. RNAcentral's name for it is "bacterial SSU rRNA". It matches the Rfam family "Bacterial small subunit ribosomal RNA", at positions 398 to 793 of the family's 1533-position model. Lineage: Bacteria; Bacillati; Cyanobacteriota; Cyanophyceae; Coleofasciculales; Coleofasciculaceae. The record is from RNAcentral.